GAGCCUGAACUUGGAGGACCAAAUUGAGAGUGGUGAGUCCGAGCUGAAGAAGUUGAAGGCUGAAGAAAAUUCCCUGAAGAGACUGAUGGUCGGGAGGAAGGAGAAGCUGGCCACGGCGCAGUUCCGGAUGAACAAGCAGCAGGAGGACGUCAAGCAGUACAAGCGCGCGGUGAUUGAAGAUUGCAAUAAAGUUCAAGAAAAAAGAGGAGCUGUCUAUGAGCGAGUCA
This is a long non-coding RNA of Suricata suricatta (meerkat), 227 nucleotides long. RefSeq lists it as uncharacterized. The transcript is spliced from 2 exons. The record is from RefSeq and is a predicted model, not a curated record. NCBI's taxonomy places the organism in Eukaryota, Metazoa, Chordata, Mammalia, Carnivora, Herpestidae.